UGAUUCCUGCCAACUUAUGUAUGAUUAAACGAUCAAUCAUUUUCAAAUUUUCUGAUGAAUCUGGAUUACCUUUCCUUUCUUCAACUUAAGAUUUUCGGUUUUGGUUUCUGCAAAAAAAUAACAUAACAUUAAAAAACGUUAAAAGUUACUUUAUGGUUGUUAUUUAGUAUUAUACUCCGGAUCUUGGUACUCAAUUUCAUGUUUUACUUUAACGUAUACUUCUCAUUCAACUUCUAUGACUGAAACAUUAACAAUGCUUUAAAAAUGGAUAUCUUUUUCUUUUCUUUUUUAAUUAAGGAUAUUGAUACUAUAUAUUUUCCUUUUAGCUCCGAUCGACAUUUUUAAUCAAAGAUGUGUCUAACUUGUGUGAGUGUCUAACGAACGUAAUUGCAUUCAAUUAUGUUAUAUGGUCAAAUUAUUAUCGAUGUUGAUGUCACUGACUGUGUCUUACCGAUUCUUUUUCAAUGUGCAAUUCCGUUUUUGGUCCGAAUUGUUAAUAUAAUUCGAAUGAUGUUGCAUUUCUGGGUUAAGGAAAUUCAUGAUAUAUAUUUCUAUAGUGCGGAAUCAUUUAGAAAACGAAAAUGAAAAAGUUAUGGUCGGUUGAUUUAUAUGCAUUCACAAUUAUUUAGUAUCAUACUUCAAAUAUUUUUGUCGUCAUUUGUGUAGUAAUUGUUAACUAUAAUCCAUUCAAAGUAAUUUUAGUAAAUGUGUAUGCCGCCACAUCACUUGGUGUAUCUAAAGGUAGUUAGAUAUAUUAGUUGGACUCGGGUAUGUGGUCAAAAUCUAGAUCGUCUGAUCAAGAGUGAUGGCUCAAAUUUUAAAUUUUAUUAGAAAAUAAAAUUUCAAUUUAAAAUUUGAAUCAUCCGAUGAGAUGUGCCGGCUACACGUGCCAAAUUGUACACAAUACAAAUCCAUAUUUAGCUAUGUACAUUGUUGUACCAUAUUAGAUAAUUUAACAUGCCAUUUUCGUGUCCAUUACAACAACUGAAAAUGAGAUCUAGAGAAAAAAAAAUUAGUUUACCAAGUCUUUUUCUGAAGAAGAUUUUUGCUUCUUUGGAAGGAAAAACGGAUAAGACAUAGCAUGUGUUUGGAAUACCGGUGGAAAGCUCAAAAAAGCACUUCUAAGCAAAAGCU
Molecule: long non-coding RNA, 1134 nt
Filed under: Medicago truncatula (barrel medic)
Lineage: Eukaryota; Viridiplantae; Streptophyta; Magnoliopsida; Fabales; Fabaceae
Description: long non-coding RNA (MTRU_LNC006433)
Source: RNAcentral